AUGCAGAGGGAGCUCCUGCAGUUCCUGGGGUCACCGUCGCUCGGUGACCUGCAACGCACCGCGGCAACCGCGACCAAGCUUGUCGGCAAGCUCGGCGGCCUGACGCGGACGUGCGGCGUCCGGAUCGACCAGAGUUGGCCGCCCACACCGGAGUUCAUGGUGGCCGCCGCAUCUUCCGGCUGCGGCACUGCCUCUAAGCCUCUAAGGUGUCCAUUGACUUCUUGGACGCAAAGCAAGCGAGGCGGCAACGUCCUCCCUGCCGGCUCCGUCAACUUGACGACGGCGGUGGCCCUCGUCGACGCACUCGACUUCAAAGGGACGUGGUCCCAACUGUUCGAGCCUGUCGCGGCAGCACGUCGCCAUCUUCCCUCGCUUCAGGACUCUGAAGCUGCCCCUACUACUGCAACAAGAACGAUGACGACGUGCAGCAAGCAACCGCAUUCUACAUGCUUCUAUUUCUCCCGGACAUCACCGCCGUCAGCGUCAAGCUCGCUGAUCUCUACAGCAACAUCGUCUUGA
This 519-nucleotide ribosomal RNA is filed under the name Triticum aestivum (bread wheat). Its description in RNAcentral is "partial small subunit ribosomal RNA". The record is from RNAcentral. Lineage: Eukaryota; Viridiplantae; Streptophyta; Magnoliopsida; Poales; Poaceae.